Molecule: ribosomal RNA, 440 nt
Filed under: uncultured bacterium
Lineage: Bacteria
Description: partial 16S ribosomal RNA
Rfam family: Bacterial small subunit ribosomal RNA
Source: RNAcentral
CCUACGGGGGGCAGCAGUGGGGGAUAUUGCACAAUGGGGGAAACCCUGAUGCAGCGACGCCGCGUGUGGGAAGACGGUCCUCUGGAUUGUAAACCACUGUCCCCAGGGACGAAGAUGACGGUACCUGGGGAGGAAGCUCCGGCUAACUACGUGCCAGCAGCCGCGGUAAUACGUAGGGAGCGAGCGUUGUCCGGAAUUACUGGGUGUAAAGGGAGCGUAGGCGGGACUGCAAGUUGGGUGUCAAAUCUACCGGCUCAACCGGUAGCCGCACUCAAAACUGCAGUUCUUGAGGGAAGUAGAGGCAGGCGGAAUUCCUAGUGUAGCGGUGAAAGGCGUAGAUAUUAGGAGGAACACCAGUGGCGAAGGCGGCCUGCUGGGCUUUUACUGACGCUGAGGCUCGAAAGUGUGGGGAGCAAACAGGAGUAGAUACCCUUGUAGUC